AACGAACGCUGGCGGCAUGCCUAACACAUGCAAGUCGAACGAUGCCUUCGGGCAUAGUGGCGCACGGGUGCGUAACGCGUGGGAAUCUGCCUUUCGGUUCGGAAUAACUCAGGGAAACUUGAGCUAAUACCGGAUAACGUCGCAAGACCAAAGAUUUAUCACCGAAAGAUGAGCCCGCGUAGGAUUAGCUAGUUGGUGAGGUAAAGGCUCACCAAGGCGACGAUCCUUAGCUGGUCUGAGAGGAUGAUCAGCCACACUGGGACUGAGACACGGCCCAGACUCCUACGGGAGGCAGCAGUGGGGAAUAUUGGACAAUGGGCGAAAGCCUGAUCCAGCAAGGCCGCGUGAGUGAUGAAGGCCUUAGGGUUGUAAAGCUCUUUUACCCGGGAAGAUAAUGACGGUACCGGGAGAAUAAGCCCCGGCGAACUCCGU
Molecule: ribosomal RNA, 432 nt
Filed under: uncultured bacterium
Lineage: Bacteria
Description: partial 16S ribosomal RNA
Rfam family: Bacterial small subunit ribosomal RNA
Source: RNAcentral